Molecule: long non-coding RNA, 341 nt
Organism: Culex quinquefasciatus (southern house mosquito)
Lineage: Eukaryota; Metazoa; Arthropoda; Insecta; Diptera; Culicidae
Exons: 3
Source: RefSeq, a predicted model, not a curated record
UUCUUAAGAGAUGCUUCGGCUAAACUCGCGCAAUUAUUGCAAUUGUAAUGUUGCUCGAGUUCUAGAGAACCGAAGUUGUUCUAAGUGCACCUCUACUGAGGGUUCUAGGACUUCGACUCGGUCACUUUUACCCUGAUCGUGGAGGAAGCAGGAGUGGUCGAAGGACCGUUUUGGAAUCGUUUUUAGGAAAGCUCGCGGCUAGGUAGAGUUAGGAGUAGGGUAGUGGCGGAACCGUUUGAAACCCUGAUACUCCAGGUGGCGACCGGCAUCAUCCGUAGCAGAGCGACCACUCCAACCGACAACCCAGCGCUUCUGGACUCCAUCAAGGGGUCAAUGUUCCG